UACGAAGGUCCCGAGCGUUGUUCGGAAUCACUGGGCGUAAAGGGAGCGUAGGCGGUUAGGUAAGUCAGAUGUGAAAUCCCGGGGCUCAACCUCGGAACUGCAUCCGAUACUGCCUGACUAGAGUAAUGGAGGGGUAACUGGAAUUCUCGGUGUAGCAGUGAAAUGCGUAGAGAUCGAGAGGAACACUCGUGGCGAAGGCGAGUUACUGGACAUUUACUGACGCUGAGGCUCGAAGGCCAGGGUAGCGAAAGGG
Molecule: ribosomal RNA, 253 nt
Filed under: uncultured bacterium
Lineage: Bacteria
Description: partial 16S ribosomal RNA
Rfam family: Bacterial small subunit ribosomal RNA
Source: RNAcentral